This 497-nucleotide ribosomal RNA is filed under the name uncultured bacterium. Its description in RNAcentral is "partial 16S ribosomal RNA". It matches the Rfam family "Bacterial small subunit ribosomal RNA", at positions 28 to 507 of the family's 1533-position model. The record is from RNAcentral.
GACGAACGCUGGCGGCGUGCCUAAUACAUGCAAGUUGAGCGCUGAAGGUUGGUACUUGUACCAACUGGAUGAGCAGCGAACGGGUGAGUAACGCGUGGGGAAUCUGCCUUUGAGCGGGGGACAACAUUUGGAAACGAAUGCUAAUACCGCAUAAAAACUUUAAACACAAGUUUUAAGUUUGAAAGAUGCAAUUGCAUCACUCAAAGAUGAUCCCGCGUUGUAUUAGCUAGUUGGUGAGGUAAAGGCUCACCAAGGCGAUGAUACAUAGCCGACCUGAGAGGGUGAUCGGCCACAUUGGGACUGAGACACGGCCCAAACUCCUACGGGAGGCAGCAGUAGGGAAUCUUCGGCAAUGGACGAAAGUCUGAUCGAGCAACGCCGCGUGAGUGAAGAAGGUUUUCGGAUCGUAAAACUCUGUUGGUAGAGAAGAACGUUGGUGAGAGUGGAAAGCUCAUCAAGUGACGGUAACUACCCAGAAAGGGACGGCUAACUACGUG